This 520-nucleotide ribosomal RNA is filed under the name uncultured Glomus. RNAcentral describes it as "SSU rRNA". It matches the Rfam family "Eukaryotic small subunit ribosomal RNA", at positions 569 to 1091 of the family's 1831-position model. The record is from RNAcentral. Lineage: Eukaryota; Fungi; Glomeromycota; Glomeromycetes; Glomerales; Glomeraceae.
AGCAGCCGCGGUAAUUCCAGCUCCAAUAGCGUAUAUUAAAGUUGUUGCAGUUAAAAAGCUCGUAGUUGAAUUUCGGGAUCAAUACGCCUGUCGUGCCUUCGGUACGUACGGGUGUAAUUGGUUUCUACCUUCUGAGGAUCCUUGAUGUCAUUAAUUUGAUGUCUUGGGGAAUCAGGACUGUUACCUUGAAAAAAUUAGAGUGUUUAAAGCAGGCAUACGCUUGAAUACAUUAGCAUGGAAUAAUGAAAUAGGACGUUCGAUUCUAUUUUGUUGGUUUCUAGGAUCGACGUAAUGAUUAAUAGGGAUAGUUGGGGGCAUUAGUAUUCAAUUGUCAGAGGUGAAAUUCUUGGAUUUAUUGAAGACUAACUACUGCGAAAGCAUUUGCCAAGGAUGUUUUCAUUAAUCAAGAACGAAAGUUAGGGGAUCGAAGACGAUCAGAUACCGUCGUAGUCUUAACCAUAAACUAUGCCGACUAGGGAUCGGAUGAUGUUAAUUUUUAAUGACUCAUUCGGCGCCUUAA